AGUGAACGCUGGCGGUAGGCCUAACACAUGCAAGUCGAACGGCAGCACAGUAAGAGCUUGCUCUUACGGGUGGCGAGUGGCGGACGGGUGAGGAAUACAUCGGAAUCUACUUUUUCUUGGGGGAUAACGUAGGGAAACUUACGCUAAUACCGCAUACGACCUACGGGUGAAAGCAGUGGAUCUUCGCACCUUGCGCGAUUGAAUGAGCCGAUGUCGGAUUAGCUAGUUGGCGGGGUAAAGGCCCACCAAGGCGACGAUCCGUAGCUGGUCUGAGAGGAUGAUCAGCCACACUGGAACUGAGACACGGUCCAGACUCCUACGGGAGGCAGCAGUGGGGAAUAUUGGACAAUGGGCGCAAGCCUGAUCCAGCAAUACCGCGUGGGUGAAGAAGGCCUUCGGGUUGUAAAGCCCUUUUGUUGGGAAAGAAAAGCAGCAGGUUAAUACCCCGCUGUUCUGACGGUACCCAAAGAAUAAGCACCGGCUAACUUCGUG
RNAcentral lists this ribosomal RNA (492 nucleotides) under uncultured bacterium. RNAcentral's name for it is "partial 16S ribosomal RNA". It matches the Rfam family "Bacterial small subunit ribosomal RNA", at positions 29 to 507 of the family's 1533-position model. The record is from RNAcentral.